ACAGUGCUACUGGCCCAUAAUCAGGCAACUGCAGAGUCUUAGGGGGUUAUCUAAUGUAGUCUUGGGGUGGCUGGAUAGACUUCCCAAAGAAGGUGAUGCCGAAGCUGAGGUCGGAAAUUACGAAGAUCAGCUAUUGUUCUACAUGAGGCAGAAACAGCCCUCAGUGGGAGACAGAAGACUCAAGAUCUAGAUGUUGUCCUGACAAACAAGGGCUGAAGUUUCCAAGAAACCUAGAUUGGUAUGAACCAGAUAUAUGAACUGAGGAUCGGAAAGGCAAAGGGACUAUCUUAAGGGUCUUGCUCUGUCCACCAGGCUGGAGUGCGGUGAUACAAUCAUGGCUUACUGCAAUCUCUGUCUCCUGGGUUCAAGCAAUUCUCGUGCCUCAGCCUCCCAAGUAGCUAGAGUUACAGGAAGGCCUGAGGAGAGAAGACACAUAGUCAUGCUGACUAAACCAGAUCACCUAGAAUUACCAAAUGGAAAGAUUGUGCCUGCAGCCUGGCCUGUUGCCCACAGCGGUCUACCUGCCACACUGGGAAAGAUCGAGCAGAGACAGAGAAGAAAAGGAGGCUCCAUUUUUCAGGCUGCUCUCCCGCAGGCUCAUGUUUUGUGUUCAUGCCAGGCAGAGAACACAAAAUGUUCCAAUAAAUAAGUAUCAAAGGUUAGUGGUGAAAAUGAAGGAGGAGGAGGCAUUGCGUGAAAAACUAAACAUGCAAAAUAUUACACACAAAGAGAACCAAAAUGCAGGUUCACUGGAAAUGAUAGACAAUAUGUUAAAACAAGAGGAGAGAAGAGAGCUGAAAUAAUCAAAUGGAAACACACAAUUUAGGGCUAAGAUCUUGUUGUGUUCAGCCACAAAUGAUGGCCAGCAGUGAGGAAUCUGUGUGUUCUCCACACUCUUCGCUCCUGGGAAGUCAACUCACAUGGACCAUGAUAUCAAUAUCUGCUCCUUCCCCUAAUAUCUGUUUGACCUUGGGUCAGUUACUUAAACUUCCUAAGCCUUAGUUUCUUUGUCUGGAAAAUAGGGAUAGUUAUACCUACCACACAACCACUUUGUAAUGAAUAUGUUGGAAAUUAUAUGCAAAUUGGCUUCCGUUGGUGUUUGGAACAUAGUAGGUUUUUAACUGGAAUAUAAUAGCUACCAUUAUCAGUAUCAUCAUAUUAAUUUAUAUUUCCAUCUUCAGCCCUUAACCCAGGAUCUUCAGUAAAUGUUGAAUUCUCAAAUUUGUUAAAUUCACUUGUCUAUACUAAUAUUUUACUCUAGGUUUCUUAGAAUAUUCUAGAUAAUAUUAUUAUGUAGAAUAUGUUAUGUAAGCUUCAUCUUAUCUGUAAAUAUAGUUUUACUUUUUCCUUUCUAAUUUUUAUGUCGAUUACUUCUUUUUCUUGGCUUAUUGAAUUGGCUAGGAUUCCCGUACAGUGUUGAAUACGUGCAGCAAGACUGCACAUCUUGCCUUGUUCCUGGUCCCACAGAGAGAAUAUCCAGUACUUCACAAUAAGUAUGUGUUAAUUGUAGAUUUUAUUAGAUUGAGGAAGUUCCCUUUCCUUUCAAGUCAGUCUUUUUAUUUUAAACAUGUAUUGAAGUUUUGUCAAAUGUCUUCAUCUAUUGGAAUAAUUAUACAUAUCUCUUUUUUAUUCUGUUAAUAUUACAUUUCAAUCUUCUGUCUACCUAAAAUCCCUAGAAUAAUCUCCAUUUGGCUAUGAUGUGUUGUGCUUUUAUAUAUUACUGAAUUCUAUAUGCCAAUAUUAUUAAAAUUUUCUGUCUUUAU
Molecule: long non-coding RNA, 1763 nt
Organism: Homo sapiens (human)
Lineage: Eukaryota; Metazoa; Chordata; Mammalia; Primates; Hominidae
Gene: CCDC26
Product: CCDC26 long non-coding RNA
Source: Ensembl